RNAcentral lists this microRNA precursor (114 nucleotides) under Leersia perrieri. RNAcentral describes it as "pre miRNA MIR162_2". It matches the Rfam family "MIR162_1 microRNA precursor family", at positions 1 to 92 of the family's 112-position model. The record is from RNAcentral. Lineage: Eukaryota; Viridiplantae; Streptophyta; Magnoliopsida; Poales; Poaceae.
CCUGGGGGCAGUGGUUUAUCGAUCUAUUCCCUGCCUUGUGUAGCUGUGCUGAUCCGAUGUGCUGUCUCUUAAUGAUACAACGCAGGAAUCGAUCGAUAAACCUCUGCAUCCAGA